Ictalurus punctatus (channel catfish) is the source of this 2623-nucleotide long non-coding RNA. RefSeq lists it as uncharacterized. Lineage: Eukaryota; Metazoa; Chordata; Actinopteri; Siluriformes; Ictaluridae. The transcript is spliced from 4 exons. The record is from RefSeq and is a predicted model, not a curated record.
CACUUUCAGGGUUCUCAGUAAAAAUGCACCCCGGCGUGCAUUAUCUCAUCGAACAGCACAGUCUGUCAGGAGUUUUUCCUUACUGUACGCUACAGGAUUCAGAACUGAUCGAGUUGUACGUUCAUUUCUUGCUGAACAGGCGUGGACCAGGUCCGAUGAGUCUUGCGAGCGCUUCCCGAGUGUGAUCUGGGACAGGUUUCCACAAAAGACGUCACAAGGGUUGCCAGGUUACUGAUGUUCUCUGGUGAACGGCACCCGGAUGGGAACUGCAACGAGGAGUGGGGAAGCACGUCAUGUUUUCCACUGAGCUGUACACACACAGAGAGAGAGAGAGAGAGAGAGAGAGAGAGAGAGAGAGAGAGAGAGAGAGAGAGAGAGAGAGAGAGAGAGAGAGAGAGAGAGAGAGAGAGAGAGAGAGAGAGAGAGAGAGAGAGAGAGAGAGAGAGAGAGAGAGAGAGAGAGAGAGAGAGAGAGAGAGAGAGAGAGAGAGAGAGAGAGAGAGAGAGAGAGAGACACUAACAAGGAAGGAAUCUCUGCACUGAGUGGCUGGAAAUUGAACGGAAGAGUGCAUCCAGUGAGUUUUCGCUUGCCGCAAAGAAGCUGACCAUAUUAAGACCGUUUCUCAUCUGUUAUGUAAUUUGCUGAGGCUUUUAUUUGGUUCACUGGAUAUUUUAGUUUGUAUUGGGUUCAUAUCGAGCGUAAUAAAAACAGGCCAAAAAAGGCGGACGGAAAACAGAGUGGUAAAACUGUUAAUCGUUGGUCAAAAACAAAGCGACAGGAAAAGGGAGACCGACUUUUGGAGUUGCUGUGGACUGCGGAUCUUGAAUUAGGACUGACAUUAAUUAGUGAUGAGAUGUUAACAAGCCGAUCUCCCAGCAGCGAACCAUGUCAGCUCUCUCUCUCCCACACACACACAGGUUUCAGAAGCACACCCCGUAUGAAACAGCACACACACACACACACACACACACACACACACACACACACACACACACACACACACACUUCCCUUUUUAUUUUAAGUAGAACAUUUCAAUAGAUCAUGCAUAAUGCUGUAUCAUAUCUCAGGAGACAGGUUUCUCAUACUCCAGUCCAGUUUGGUGAUGGUGAUUACUUCACUAAUACACCUAAUGAACCUGGCGAUGAUUUAUUUAUUUAUUAAGACCGCUGUCCCGGAGCUUGAGAAGCGAGAACGUGUGGCGGGUAUCGAUAGUGAUAAAGGGCAUGUGACCUGCAACACGUACAGCAUCGGCCACGCCGUGUUAUUGUAAAUGGUACUGUGUGUGCUGCUGGAGGACGUGGAGCAGGAUUGGCGGCUCGGUUCAGAAAAGCCGCUCAUGCCGGUUCUGCACGACGGCACUCGUGCGCUAGCUGAAAUAUUAAACAGCAGAGCAGUCAAUAGUACAGCAACCUUGAAGUCAAUUGCAUUCAGACAUCGUGAGAGAGAGAGAGAGAGAGAGAGAGAGAGAGAGAGAGAGAGAGAGAGAGAGAGAGAGAGAGAGAGGGAGGAUGGAUACAGAAAUGUGAGAGAGCGACAGAGAGGAUGGUGUGUGUGUGUGUGUGUGUGUGUGUGUGUACUCUGCAGCACAGCGGCAGGAGGGAGAGUGACUGCAGGAAGUGCUGAGCACUGCAGCAGUGGAAUCCCUUGCCUAGAGAGGAGGGUUACCCCUCAGUUCUCUUCAUGCCGGCAUCCCCUCCUCCCUCUCUCUCUCUCCCCCUCUCCCUCUCUCCCUCUCUCCAUCCUGCUGCCGUCUGAAUCACGGUAUUCCCCUGUUUGCUACGCGAUAAGUCCCUUCAUGCCAUUGUACUGCACUUACAAGACUCCGCAUAACAUCUGCGCACACGUGUACGUACAAGGUUUCGUAGACUUUUUUUUUUUUUUAACCUGUAAACAUAUAUAUGGUUAUCAUUUAACUUAUAACUUAGAUCAUUGACAGAUCCAUCAUGGUCUCACAAACCCCCUGGAAUGCCAACACAAACCUCUAGGGGUUCCCAAACCCCUGGUUGGGAAACCCCUGGUCUAGACACUAUCAAAGCCCUGUUUUUGAUGCUUCUAUUCAAGAAAAAUGCGGAGAAAAUAAUCUUAGCGGCCUGGAACUACCCGCGUACAAUUUGCAUAAUCUUUAUUAAAAUGCAGCAAACUUGUCACUUGCGGUGGAAGAAAAAUGUCUGAGUAUUACCAAUUAAUAGGGUCAUAUUAAUAUGGCAAUAUUAACUCUGGUUGGAGCGCUUGCAUCAUCUCCUGUUAUUUUAGUUGAAGAAGAGUUCUACAUGGUCCCGGUUUUCACAGACAAGAAAGAGAAAGAGAGAGAGAGAGAGAGAGAGAGAGAGAGAGAGAGAGAAAAUUAGAAGAAGAAGCUUUUAUGUCAUUCUAACAGCCUCGUUCAUUUUUCUGACUAAUAUCGCCGCAUAUACACGUUCGUACACACGCAUACACAUCCGCGCGCUUCACAAACGAUCCUGCCCCAAGCCUGAUGGCCGUCAUCAUCCUAAUCGCCCUAAAUCACAGGAGUCUGCUGCCUGCUCAGAAAUAACUCCUCCAUUUCACUCGGAAAGUCAUUUACGACCAGAGAUGGAUUUCCCCUUUAUGUGUAGGUGCACUAAAGAGUCAAGAGUGGGUGAG